This is a long non-coding RNA of Sinocyclocheilus anshuiensis, 283 nucleotides long. RefSeq lists it as uncharacterized. The record is from RefSeq and is a predicted model, not a curated record. The transcript is spliced from 2 exons. Lineage: Eukaryota; Metazoa; Chordata; Actinopteri; Cypriniformes; Cyprinidae.
UGGGUGAAGGCACAAGCUGGGGCGAAUGGGACUCCUGGAGUAAUACAUGUGAAGGAAAAGGGAUUUGUGGUAUCCAGACACGGGUAGAAGAGUCACAGGGAGGAGGAGACGACACCGCUCUCAAUGAUGUGCGCAUGUACUGCUGUGAUUAAGUUGUUAGAGGCCGACAGUAAGAAGAUCAGAUGGAUCAUAAUUGAUCAGCAUACUGUUAUGAGCUCACGUUAACCAUGUCCUAUAAAAGCCAGUCACACAAUAAAGCCUGAGAUGUGAUCAGGACCUCAAC